This 861-nucleotide ribosomal RNA is filed under the name uncultured archaeon. RNAcentral's name for it is "bacterial SSU rRNA". It matches the Rfam family "Archaeal small subunit ribosomal RNA", at positions 474 to 1337 of the family's 1478-position model. The record is from RNAcentral.
UACCCGCGGCCCGAGUGGUGCUCAUUAUUAUUGAGCCUAAAGCGUCCGUAGCUGGCCGGGCAAAUCUCCGGGUAAAUCGGGCCGCUCAACGGUCCGAAUUCCGGAGACACUGCUCGGCUUGGGAUCGGGAGAGGGUGAAGGUACUCCCGGGGUAGGGGUAAAAUCCUGUAAUCCUGGGGGGACCACCAGUGGCGAAGGCGUUCACCUAGAACGAAUCCGACAGUGAGGGACGAAGCCCUAGGGCGCAAACGGGAUUAGAUACCCCGGUAGUCUAGGGUGUAAACGCUGCAGACUUGGUGUUGGGGGUCCUGCGUGGGCUCCCAGUGCCGGAGCGAAGGUGUUGAGUCUGCCGCUUGGGGAGUACGGUCGCAAGACUGAAACUUAAAGGAAUUGGCGGGAGAGCACCGCAACGGGAGGAGCGUGCGGUUCAAUUGGAUUCAACGCCGGAAAACUCACCGGAGGCGACGGAGGGAUGAAAGCCAGGCUGAAGACCUUGCCCGAUUCUCCGAGAGGUGGUGCAUGGCCGUCGUCAGUUCGUACCGUAAGGCGUUCUGUUAAGUCAGAUAACGAACGAGACCCUCGCCGUUAGUCGCGAUCUUACAAGCGAUUGUAGGAGCACACUAGCGGGAUCGCUGCCGUUAAGGCAGAGGAAGGAGAGGUCUACGGUAGGUCCGUAUGCCCCGAAUCUCCCGGGCAACACGCGCGCUACAAAGGUGGGGACAAUGGGAUCCGACCCCGCAAGGGGAAGGCAAUCCUGAAACCCCAUCGUAGUCUGGAUUGAGGGCUGUAACUCGCCCUCAUGAAUGUGGAUUCCGUAGUAAUCGCGGGUCAACAGCCCGCGGUGAAUAUGCCCCUGCUCCU